UGGAUGAGGUGCUAAUCGCCGGAUGA
Molecule: non-coding RNA, 26 nt
Filed under: Homo sapiens (human)
Lineage: Eukaryota; Metazoa; Chordata; Mammalia; Primates; Hominidae
Source: RNAcentral